Molecule: microRNA, 23 nt
Filed under: Petromyzon marinus (sea lamprey)
Lineage: Eukaryota; Metazoa; Chordata; Hyperoartia; Petromyzontiformes; Petromyzontidae
Description: pma-miR-4591
Source: miRBase by way of RNAcentral
UCAGCGAUCCAGUUGCAUGCAAC